GGCUACGCAUCGUCGCCUUGGUGCAGCCGUUACCGCUCCAACUAGGCUAAUCGCGCCGAGUAACCCGUGGGUACCGGCCUGUAAGACUGGGAUAACUCCGGGAAACCGGGGCUAAUACCGGAUGGCGGUUUGAACCGCAUGGUUCAAACAUAAAAGGUGGCUUCGGCUACCACUUACGGAUGGACCCGCGGCGCAUUAGCUAGUUGGUGAGGUAACGGCUCACCAAGGCAACGAUGCGUAGCCAACCUGAGAGGGUGAUCGGCCACACUGGGACUGAGCCAGGCCCAACACUAAUACGGGAGGCAGCAGUAGGGAAUCUUCCGCAAUGGACGAAAGUCUGACGGAGCAACGCCGCGUGAGUGAUGAAGGUUUUCGGAUCGUAAAGCUCUGUUGUUAGGGAAGAACAAGUACCGUUCGAAUAGGGCGGUACCUUGACGGUACCUAACCAGAAAGCCACGGCUAACUACGUGCCAGCAGCCGCGGUAAUACGUAGGUGGCAAGCGUUGUCCGGAAUUAUUGGGCGUAAAGGGCUCGCAGGCGGUUUCUUAAGUCUGAUGUGAAAGCCCCCGGCUCAACCGGGGAGGGUCAUUGGAAACUGGGGAACUUGAGUGCAGAAGAGGAGAGUGGAAUUCCACGUGUAGCGGUGAAAUGCGUAGAGAUGUGGAGGAACACCAGUGGCGAAGGCGACUCUCUGGUCUGUAACUGACGCUGAGGAGCGAAAGCGUGGGGAGCGAACAGGAUUAGAUACCCUGGUAGUCCACGCCGUAAACGAUGAGUGCUAAGUGUUAGGGGGUUUCCGCCCCUUAGUGCUGCAGCUAACGCAUUAAGCACUCCGCCUGGGGAGUACGGUCGCAAGACUGAAACUCAAAGGAAUUGACGGGGGCCCGCACAAGCGGUGGAGCAUGUGGUUUAAUUCGAAGCAACGCGAAGAACCUUACCAGGUCUUGACAUCCUCUGACAAUCCUAGAGAUAGGACGUCCCCUUCGGGGGCAGAGUGACAGGUGGUGCAUGGUUGUCGUCAGCUCGUGUCGUGAGAUGUUGGGUUAAGUCCCGCAACGAGCGCAACCCUUGAUCUUAGUUGCCAGCAUUCAGUUGGGCACUCUAAGGUGACUGCCGGUGACAAACCGGAGGAAGGUGGGGAUGACGUCAAAUCAUCAUGCCCCUUAUGACCUGGGCUACACACGUGCUACAAUGGACAGAACAAAGGGCAGCGAAACCGCGAGGUUAAGCCAAUCCCACAAAUCUGUUCUCAGUUCGGAUCGCAGUCUGCAACUCGACUGCGUGAAGCUGGAAUCGCUAGUAAUCGCGGAUCAGCAUGCCGCGGUGAAUACGUUCCCGGGCCUUGUACACACCGCCCCGUCCACACCCACGAGAGUUUGUAACACCCGAAGUCGGUGAGGUA
RNAcentral lists this ribosomal RNA (1402 nucleotides) under Bacillus subtilis. RNAcentral describes it as "bacterial SSU rRNA". It matches the Rfam family "Bacterial small subunit ribosomal RNA", at positions 61 to 1437 of the family's 1533-position model. Lineage: Bacteria; Bacillati; Bacillota; Bacilli; Caryophanales; Bacillaceae. The record is from RNAcentral.